This 69-nucleotide transfer RNA is filed under the name Proechimys goeldii. RNAcentral describes it as "tRNA-Asp". It matches the Rfam family "tRNA". Rfam says of the family: Transfer RNA (tRNA) molecules are approximately 80 nucleotides in length. Their secondary structure includes four short double-helical elements and three loops (D, anti-codon, and T loops). The record is from RNAcentral. Lineage: Eukaryota; Metazoa; Chordata; Mammalia; Rodentia; Echimyidae.
UAGAUAUUAGUAAAAAUAUUACAUAACUUUGUCAAAGUUAUAUUACUGGUUUGACUCCUGUAUAUCUUU